GCCCCUACCCGAAACCGACACAGGUGGACUGGUAGAGUAUACCAAGGCGCUUGAGAGAACUAUGUUGAAGGAACUCGGCAAAUUGCACGCGUAACUUCGGAAGAAGCGUGACCCUUUUGUACGCAAGUAUGAUGGGGUGGCACAGACCAGGGGGUAGCGACUGUUUACCAAAAACACAGGUGCAUGCGAAGACGCAAGUCGCUGUAUAUGCACUGACGCCUGCCCGGUGCCGGAAGGUUAAGAGGA
Molecule: ribosomal RNA, 246 nt
Filed under: Chaetoceros curvisetus
Lineage: Eukaryota; Bacillariophyta; Thalassiosirophyceae; Chaetocerotales; Chaetocerotaceae
Description: partial Bacterial large subunit ribosomal RNA
Rfam family: Bacterial large subunit ribosomal RNA
Source: RNAcentral